This 537-nucleotide ribosomal RNA is filed under the name uncultured bacterium. Its description in RNAcentral is "partial 16S ribosomal RNA". The record is from RNAcentral.
GUAGUUAGCCGGGGCUUUCUUACAGGGUACCGUCACUUCUUCGUCCCCUGCGACAGAGGUUUACAAUCCGAAAACCUUCUUCCCUCACGCGGCGUUGCUGGGUCAGGCUUGCGCCCAUUGCCCAAUAUUCCCCACUGCUGCCUCCCGUAGGAGUCUGGACCGUGUCUCAGUUCCAGUGUGGCCGAUCAGCCUCUCAGCUCGGCUACCCAUCGUUGACUUGGUGGGCCGUUACCUCACCAACUAUCUAAUGGGACGCGAACCCCUCCCAAAGCGGAUUGCUCCUUUGACCUCAUCCCGAUGCCGGGUCGUGGUCUUAUGCGGUAUUAGCACUUGUUUCCAGGUGUUAUCCCCCUCUUUGGGUCAGAUUGUUCACGCGUUACUCACCCGUUCGCCACUAAGAAUACACUCUCAUUGCUGAUUGUGCAUCCCCGUUGACUUGCAUGUGUUAGGCACGCCGCCAGCGUUCGUCCUGAGCCAGUAGUCUAACUAACCUCGUACGUACGUAGACGGGCGGUCGGCGGAACGACGGCCGACUAG